CCUACGGGUGGCUGCAGUGAGGAAUAUUGGUCAAUGGACGCAAGUCUGAACCAGCCAUGCCGCGUGCAGGAAGACGGCUCUAUGAGUUGUAAACUGCUUUUGUACGAGGGUAAACGCAGAUUAGCGUAUCUGUCUGAAAGUAUCGUACUAAUAAGGAUCGGCUAACUCCGUGCCAGCCGCUGCGGUACUAUGGAGGAUACAAGCGUUAUCUGGAUUUAUUUGGUUUAAAGGGUGCGUAGGCGGUCGGAUAAGUUAGAGGUGAAAUCCCGAGGUUCAACUUCGGAAUUGACUCUGAUACUGUUCGGCUAGAGAGUAGUUGCGGUAAGCGGAAUGUAUGGUGUAGCGGUGAAAUGCUUAGAGAUCAUACAGAACACCGAUUGCGAAGGCAGCUUACCAGGCUACUUCUGACGUUGAGGCACGAAAGCGUGGGGAGCAAACAGGAUUAGAUACCCGGGUAGUC
Molecule: ribosomal RNA, 460 nt
Filed under: uncultured bacterium
Lineage: Bacteria
Description: partial 16S ribosomal RNA
Rfam family: Bacterial small subunit ribosomal RNA
Source: RNAcentral